This 536-nucleotide ribosomal RNA is filed under the name uncultured bacterium. RNAcentral's name for it is "bacterial SSU rRNA". It matches the Rfam family "Bacterial small subunit ribosomal RNA", at positions 9 to 546 of the family's 1533-position model. The record is from RNAcentral.
AGGGGUUUGAUUCAGCGCUCAGGAUGAACGCUGGCGGCGUGCCUAACACAUGCAAGUCGAGCGCCCCUUUAUUUGCUAAUUACUUGAAGAGUAAUUGAUAACUAUGGGGAGCGGCGGACGGGUGAGUAACGCGUGAGAAUCUACCCCAAACUGAGGGAUAAGCUCGGGAAACCGAGUCUAAUACCGCAUAUGGCCUUCGGGUUAAAGCUUCGGCGGUUUGGGAAGAGCUUGCGUCCGAUUAGUUUGUUGGUAAGGUAAUGGCUUACCAAGACUAUGAUCGGUAGCUGGUCUGAGAGGAUGAUCAGCCACACUGGAACUGAGACACGGUCCAGACUCCUACGGGAGGCAGCAGUCGGGAAUAUUCCACAAUGGACGAAAGUCUGAUGGAGCAACGCCGCGUGCAGGAUGAAGGCCUUAGGGUUGUAAACUGCUUUUAUAGGUGAAGAUUAUGACGUUAAGCCUAUGAAUAAGGAUCGGCAAACUCCGUGCCCAGCAGCCGCGGGUCAUACGGAGGAUCCAAGUGUUAUCUCGGUAAU